GCGGAACCUCCAAGCUUUAUUGAGAGACCUCACUUAUGGCGGAGGAAAACCGUGGUAACAACUAGACACUUACACAAAGAAAAACAAAACAAUAUCCCAAGUAUCAAAACAAACAAAAGACAAUAAAGCAAACACAAAAGAACAAACUAAACAAGUCUUAAUAUAAACAAUACCCAUUUUAUCUAACCUAAUCAAACUUUUUAUAAGCCUAGGGAGAUGUUCCACAUUGGUAAAUAAGAAGCUGGUUUAACUAGCACAACUACGAGCCAAAGCAUCAGCCUCCUUUUGGCUCUAAAAAUAUGAUGAAUAGAAUAAUCCUUAACAUCCAAUAACCCCUUAAGUGGUCCCUAGAAGUCCCAAAGAUACCAAAGCUUGCAAGAACGAGACCGAAUCCAGCUAACAACAAUAUUAGAAUCACAUUCAAUGCCAAUACCAUCAUAACCCAAUUGCUUACACACAAGUAAGCCUUCAAGAAUAGCGCAUAAACUCAGCUUCAUUAUUUGAGCAACUGCCAAAAAAAUUGAAAAGCCAAAAAUGAAGUUGCUUGAACCAUGACGAAGUAAACCACCUCCACCAGCAUUUCCACGAUUUCCAAGACUACUCCCAUCAAAAUUAAGCUUAAAUCUUCCAUGCACCGGUUUAAGCCAUCUUGCCUGACGUUGCCCUCGCUGCAUCAGAUAACAAUAAGAUAAGCUGAUAAGUAGUAGUAGAAAGAAGACAGUGAAGUGUAAAAAUUUCCCUUUAUUUUCCACCAAUUUUAGGGUCACUACACUAAAUGGUACUAAAAGAUAUCAAAUAGAGGCAGGCAUUCGAUAAACCUUGUUUGAAAGGAAAGAAGGUACUCUUAAGCAUGGAAGGAAAAAGAAAAAGAACAAUAUGGUAUUUAAAGAGCACAAAAACAUAUACUUGCUGUUACACGUAAAUAAAUAAAAGCUACCAUUUUCCCAAAAUCUGUAGUAGGAUACAAUACAUGUAUGAUGUAUCAAACAACUAAGAGAUGAGAAAACGAUCCUUCUAAUACCACUAGAUUACCUCAUGGAAGGACGUAGCUCAAUCUCAAUCAAAUUAUACAAUUACUUGCUGGAGACAUAAACGCUAUAACCUCACUUUUUAGAGCAGCAGUUUUUGACUUUUUGUACCUCGUUGUGCUUAACAACAUCAGAAACACAUCGCUUGUAGUGGUCUUAAAAAUUCCAAUGUGUAAACUAUAUUGACAAAAUUGGAAAAACAUUGUAUCCACUGAAUGGCCUCCCAAGUAAAUAAUCAGCUAUUGACAAUAUUUCAUGUCAACUAAAUCAAAAUUUCAAAUCAGCUCCUGUUCAAAGUUGAUCUCAGAUCCCUCGGCAGGACCAGCUAGCUUCACCAAGCCAAUUAACCUUAACAUAGCUGAAAAUAGAAAACCAGAUACCAAGAAUCACAAAUUCCAUUCUGCGCUCAAUGAGUCCAACAAUAUUAUAUUGAACUAAUAGCACCCAAUUACACUUUCGGAAUGAACAAACUACCUAUGAUGAAGAAACAACCACAGGUUGUUGCUGAUAUACUGAGAUAUUAAAAAUAAAAUUCCACAUAUGACUAUGCUCAUUUUCCAGAGACGUAGCUUUAUAUUGAACUAUUUAUAAUGAUGUUGCAUACCGGAUACAUGUAUUUCAUUUCUUCUUCUGAUCUUAAGGAUGAAAAACAACACUCUUAGCUUAAAUUUGAUCAAAGAUUGUUUCCCACACGUGUGUGUAUUGCUUUUGAAAAUUGCUCACUUUUUGCAGAUUUGGUAACAUAAAUAUUGCAUCAAUUUCCGUUGAGAAGCCUCUCGAGUAAAUAAUCAGUUACUGAGAAUGUUUCAUGUCAUGUAAACCAAAAUUUCCCUUCAGAUCUUGUUCAAAGUUGAUUGCAAAUUCAUGGGUACAUGUAUCUUCUCCAGGCAAUAUAACCAUAACAGGUCUGAAAAAUAGAAACCAGAUAUCAAGAAUCAUAAAUUCCAUUAUGACCUCAAUAAGCUGAACAUUAGUACAUUGAACUAACUACAGCCAAUUGCAAUUUCUGAAUUUAUGUAAUAUGAAGAAACAAGCACCUGGUAUACUGAGAAAUUUCAAAAUAAAAAUGCCACAAAUUAAUAAUGCUUGUGUUUCACACAGUUUGCUUUAUAUAGAAAUAUUUAAUUAUGACACAUAAGGAAUACCUGUGUUUUAUAUUUCUUCUUCCAAUCUUGAGAAUAGUAAGCAUUAAGCAACCUUUUGCCCUGUAUUUCCUUUGAAAAUCUGCUCAUUUC
This 2263-nucleotide long non-coding RNA is filed under the name Lotus japonicus. Its description in RNAcentral is "long non-coding RNA (LJAP_LNC001509)". The record is from RNAcentral. Lineage: Eukaryota; Viridiplantae; Streptophyta; Magnoliopsida; Fabales; Fabaceae.